Molecule: ribosomal RNA, 460 nt
Filed under: uncultured bacterium
Lineage: Bacteria
Description: partial 16S ribosomal RNA
Rfam family: Bacterial small subunit ribosomal RNA
Source: RNAcentral
CCUACGGGAGGCAGCAGUGAGGAAUAUUGGUCAAUGGACGAGAGUCUGAACCAGCCAAGUAGCGUGAAGGAUGACUGCCCGAUGGGUGGUAAACUUCUUUUAUAAAGGAAUAAAACGCGGCACGUGUGCCUUUUUGCAUGUACCUUAUGUAUAAGGAUCGGCUAACUCCGUGCCAGCAGCCGCGGUAAUACGGAGGGUCCGAGCGUUAUCCGGAUUUAUUGGGUUUAAAGGGAGCGUCGGUGGGUGGUUAAGUCAGUUGUGAAAGUUUGCGGCUCAACCGUAAAAUUGCAAUUGAUACUGGCAGUCUUGAGUGCAGUUGAGGUAGGCGGAAUUCGUGGUGUAGCGGUGAAAUGCUUAGAUAUCACGAAGAACCCCGAUUGCGAAGGCAGCUUACUAAACUGUGACUGACGUUGAUGCUCGAAAGUGUGGGUAUCAAACAGGAUUAGAUACCCGAGUAGUC